This 465-nucleotide ribosomal RNA is filed under the name uncultured Klebsiella sp. RNAcentral describes it as "bacterial SSU rRNA". It matches the Rfam family "Bacterial small subunit ribosomal RNA", at positions 338 to 795 of the family's 1533-position model. Lineage: Bacteria; Pseudomonadati; Pseudomonadota; Gammaproteobacteria; Enterobacterales; Enterobacteriaceae. The record is from RNAcentral.
CCUACGGGUGGCAGCAGUGGGGAAUAUUGCACAAUGGGCGCAAGCCUGAUGCAGCCAUGCCGCGUGUGUGAAGAAGGCCUUCGGGUUGUAAAGCACUUUCAGCGGGGAGGAAGGCGGUGAGGUUAAUAACCUCAUCGAUUGACGUUACCCGCAGAAGAAGCACCGGCUAACUCCGUGCCAGCGGCCGCGGUAAUACGGAGGGUGCAAGCGUUAAUCGGAAUUACUGGGCGUAAAGCGCACGCAGGCGGUCUGUCAAGUCGGAUGUGAAAUCCCCGGGCUCAACCUGGGAACUGCAUUCGAAACUGGCAGGCUAGAGUCUUGUAGAGGGGGGUAGAAUUCCAGGUGUAGCGGUGAAAUGCGUAGAGAUCUGGAGGAAUACCGGUGGCGAAGGCGGCCCCCUGGACAAAGACUGACGCUCAGGUGCGAAAGCGUGGGGAGCAAACAGGAUUAGAUACCCUAGUAGUC